ACGGAGGGUGCAAGCGUUAAUCGGAAUUACUGGGCGUAAAGCGUACGUAGGAUGUGAUGUAAGUUGGAUGUGAAAUCCCCGGGCUUAACCUGGGAACUGCAUUCAAAACUGCAUCGCUAGAGUGUAGUAGAGGUAAGCGGAAUUUCGGGUGUAGCGGUGAAAUGCGUAGAUAUCCGAAAGAACAUCAGUGGCGAAGGCGGCUUACUGGACUAACACUGACUCUGAGGUACGAAAGCGUGGGGAGCAAACAGG
RNAcentral lists this ribosomal RNA (252 nucleotides) under uncultured bacterium. RNAcentral describes it as "partial 16S ribosomal RNA". It matches the Rfam family "Bacterial small subunit ribosomal RNA", at positions 525 to 776 of the family's 1533-position model. The record is from RNAcentral.